AUGAAGACCAUUCUCAGCAACCAGACUGUUGACAUUCCAGAAAAUGUCGACAUCACUCUGAAGGGACGCACAGUUAUCGUGAAGGGCCCCAGAGGAGGCCUGUGGAGGGACUUCAGUCACAUCAAUGUAGAACUCAGCCUUCUUAGGAAGAAAGAGGCUCCGGGUUGACAAAUAGUGAGGUAACAAAAAGGAACUGGCUACCGUUCAGACUAUUUAUAGUCACACACAGAACAUGAUCAAGGAUGUUACACUGGGCUUCUGUUACAAGAUGAGGUCUGUGUCUGCUCACUUCCCCGUCAACGUUGUUAUCCAGGAGAAUGGGUCUCUUAUUGAAAUCUGAAAUUUCUUCGGUGAAAAAUACAUCCCCAGGGUUUGGAGGAGGUCAGGUGUUGCUUGUUUGGUAUCUCAAGCCCAGAAAGAUGAAUUAAUCCUUGAAGGAAACAACAUUCAGCUUGUUUCAAAUUCAGCUGCUUCGAUUCAGCAAGCCACAACAGUUAAAAACAAGGAUAUCAGAAAAAUUUUGGAUGGUACCUAUGUCUCUGAAAAAGGAACAGUUCAGCAGGCUGAAGAU
This 571-nucleotide long non-coding RNA is filed under the name Homo sapiens (human). RNAcentral's name for it is "non-protein coding lnc-PLEKHM3-2:1". Lineage: Eukaryota; Metazoa; Chordata; Mammalia; Primates; Hominidae. The record is from RNAcentral.